UGCCCACACAGUCUUCCCCUCGACAGCCACAGGGCUUCUCCUCCAGUUCCUCCAGCUCUUUUUCUGUAGGUCCUUUUCUCAGUGAGACCCCCUAACUAUCAAUUAGAAUGGCUACCUCCCUCCCCACCCCGGCUCUCCUCUUCUCUGCUUUGUUGUUUCCAUAGCACCCAACACCGUCUACACGUCAUGUGUUCAUUGCCUGGUUUCCUGUUGGAACAGGAAGCUCCAGGAGGGCAGGGAUUUUGUCUGUUUUGUUUUCUGUGUGCCUUGGCUUCUGGAACUGUGUUGACAAUUACUCACUGCUCAAUAACUAUUCGUGGGAUGAGCGAAGGGAUACUUGGGGAACGGAGGAAGGAGCACUGUUCUAGAAGCAGAACUUGCAGGGAGUGGCGCAAUGUGGCCACAGCCAGAUCCCUGAGGUGGGACUUUGAACUGAGUCCUCCCCAAGGUCAUUAAAAGUUGCUUCCUGUUUUCCAGCUAAGGAAGCCCCGUGGAGUGGGAGCCAAAAGCUUGAGUUCCUGUUCCAUCUCGGCCUCUUAUUGGCUGUGUGCCCUGGGUGCAAAUCACUCCUCUUCGCGAGCCUUGGUUCCUCAUCUGUUCAUUGGGGUGUCAUCAUCUUCUUGCAGGGCUGGCAUAAAAGAGCCAGUGUGUGAGCGGCGCCCCCCCAUGUAAUCAGCACCCAGUGCACACUUGCUCCCCCCAGAAACAGUGCUAAUUCAGAGCAAGUUUCAGACAGAUGUGUUUUGGGGGGGAGGUGGGGAGGAAGGAGGAAGAGAGAGUGAGACCAUAGAGGAAGACGAGGCCCUGGGAGAGAAGCAGGAGGGCUGAGGGCUGGACCCUGAAGGACCAGGAGAAGCGCCAGAGGCAGAGGGGUGAGCAGGAGACCCUCCGACCUCACUUGUCCCAUCCCUGUCCCUGAGCUCUUUGGAGCCUGGCCAACCCCAUGUGGAGGCAGGUGGAGAUUGAUGAUUAAGCUCAUUUCAUGGGUGAGGAAACUGAGGUGAAGAAGGCGGCGAUAGGUGUCUGUCUCUUCUUCCCCUGCCAGACUGGAAGCUCCUAGGGUUUAAAGUCUGCUCAUUCAGACCCACCAUUUCUGUCUCCUCAGGGCCAAUGUCGCUGACUGAAAACAGGAGUGGGUGCUCAUCGGUGGGCUCCCAGCCUCAGCACGCCCCACCCCCGCUUUUAUAACAAAUGUCUUGCAAUACCGUCUUCCCUGUAAUGGAAUGCAAGUCGUAGAUUCUGAAUCGGCGGGUCUGGGGAAGGACCGAGGGGCUGCAUCUCUAACCGGCCCAGGUGUUGCCUAGCUGCUGCUCCGCAGGCGGAGGAGGGACGCAUUCCGUUCCCUCGGCCCACGCACCGGCCCGCCCUGCAGGACUCUCCACCCAGAGCCGCCCCCUCCCCAGGUCCGAGCAAGGGGAAGCCC
RNAcentral lists this long non-coding RNA (1423 nucleotides) under Equus asinus (donkey). RNAcentral's name for it is "lncRNA (ENSEASG00005023944.1)". The record is from RNAcentral. Lineage: Eukaryota; Metazoa; Chordata; Mammalia; Perissodactyla; Equidae.